Molecule: ribosomal RNA, 510 nt
Filed under: uncultured Lactobacillus sp.
Lineage: Bacteria; Bacillati; Bacillota; Bacilli; Lactobacillales; Lactobacillaceae
Description: bacterial SSU rRNA
Rfam family: Bacterial small subunit ribosomal RNA
Source: RNAcentral
AACCGGAUUAGAUACCCGGGUAGUCCAUGCCGUAAACGAUGAGUGCUAAGUGUUGGAGGGUUUCCGCCCUUCAGUGCUGCAGCUAACGCAUUAAGCACUCCGCCUGGGGAGUACGACCGCAAGGUUGAAACUCAAAGGAAUUGACGGGGGCCCGCACAAGCGGUGGAGCAUGUGGUUUAAUUCGAUGCUACGCGAAGAACCUUACCAGGUCUUGACAUCUUCUGCCAACCUAAGAGAUUAGGCGUUCCCUUCGGGGACAGAAUGACAGGUGGUGCAUGGUUGUCGUCAGCUCGUGUCGUGAGAUGUUGGGUUAAGUCCCGCAACGAGCGCAACCCUUAUUGUUAGUUGCCAGCAUUCAGUUGGGCACUCUAGCAAGACUGCCGGUGACAAACCGGAGGAAGGUGGGGGAUGACGUCAAAUCAUCAUGCCCCUUAUGACCUGGGCUACACACGUGCUACAAUGGACGGUACAACGAGUCGCGAAACCGCGAGGUCAAGCUAAUCUCUUAAA